This 388-nucleotide small RNA is filed under the name Arabidopsis thaliana (thale cress). Its description in RNAcentral is "ATSL041350". Lineage: Eukaryota; Viridiplantae; Streptophyta; Magnoliopsida; Brassicales; Brassicaceae. The record is from RNAcentral.
UGGUUUGGGUUAACUGCUCUAAUAAGGAGAGUCAGCUACUUGGAUUAACAAGAGUGAUCAAAAUGAAUAAGAAAAUCCAAGUAUUUUAGGGUAUCCAUGAGUUCAAAUUUUGAUGCAGAACUGAUAAUUAAAGAUCUAAUUCAGGUUCAAAUUGAUAGGGAAUGGUAUCAGAUCAUGACAGUGUGGUCGAGUAGAGCAAUCUAGGCAUGGUUCAGUUUUACUUCAAUUUCAUUGACUACGCAACAAACAACUAGCAACGAGGGCACAGAGUUGAUCUUGUGAACCAAAAUGCUUACAAGGCUAUCUCAUCAUUAUCCCCUAUGCAUAUGCAACAAUCCAAAAUGAAACACUCUAGACUCGAUCCUAAAUGUAAUGCAACUACAUAAAC